UUCCCACAGGCCAUGCUGCUCAGAGCCCGAGGAUGGGAACUUCUGCGCGGGCCCUUGGAGGGUAGAGCUGGUGCUGGCUCACUUGUCUCCAGGUCCCGUCGUCGCCCUCCCAGGCGCUCCCUCCCGGCACUUCCCGGGCUUUGGGCACCCUUGCUUCCCUCUUUUCAAAGGACCCUGUGCUCUCGGACCCUGCGCAGGAUUCCAGAGCUUGCACACUCCCUAGCCGGAGCAGCCGCUUGCCCGCCCCACAAGUGCGGCUCUCCGCGCCACGCUCCCUCCUGCUAGGGCUCCAAGUGCCGACUUGCAGAGGCCUCGGGAGUGACAGUGGAACAGAGGGUGGCACCGGCACCAGAAAGCACCCCCCGAGCCUAGAUUUCUACCUUCAGAAACUCCGACAGUGGGGACCCGGGGCGUGGCGGGGCUGCUCAGUGCGUCCCAGCUCCUCCUCGGUGCCCAAGGAGGCUGCCACUGUGGCCGUGAGUCCAGGAGAGGCCUCCCAACCCUGGCCUGUGGAUGCAUCGACCCCUUUCACCGCGCCUGACGUGAGUACUCCUGCCCCUUCACGGGCCAACAGGAGCGAGGUCGGCCCUGCCUCAAAGGGCCUGUGAUCC
This 611-nucleotide long non-coding RNA is filed under the name Homo sapiens (human). RNAcentral's name for it is "HSALNT0130854". The record is from RNAcentral. Lineage: Eukaryota; Metazoa; Chordata; Mammalia; Primates; Hominidae.